This is a small nuclear RNA of Dromiciops gliroides (monito del monte), 103 nucleotides long. Lineage: Eukaryota; Metazoa; Chordata; Mammalia; Microbiotheria; Microbiotheriidae. The record is from RefSeq and is a predicted model, not a curated record.
UUGCUUUGGCAGCACAUAUACUAAAAUUGGAACGAUACAGAAAAGAUUAGCAUGGCCCCUGUGCAAGGAUAAUACACAUUCAAAUCCAUCAAAACCCAUGUUU